This 252-nucleotide ribosomal RNA is filed under the name uncultured bacterium. RNAcentral describes it as "partial 16S ribosomal RNA". It matches the Rfam family "Bacterial small subunit ribosomal RNA", at positions 524 to 776 of the family's 1533-position model. The record is from RNAcentral.
GACAGAGGUGCCGAGCGUUAGGCGGAAUCACUGGGCUUAAAGCGUGUGUAGGCGGACCGUUAAGUACCUUGUGAAAUCCUGCGGCUCAACCGCAGAACGGCUGGGUAUACUGGCGGUCUUGGGCCACCUAGGGGCAGAUGGAACAGACGGUGGAGCGGUGAAAUGCGUAGAUAUCGUCUGGAACGCCGAUGGUGAAAACAGUCUGCUGGGGGUGUGCCGACGCUGAGACACGAAAGCCAGGGAGCAAACGGG